GACGAACGCUGGCGGCGUGCCUAACACAUGCAAGUCGAGCGGGGUUGAAGCGAGAGGUAACUCGAACUUCUACCUAGCGGCGGACGGGUGAGUAACGCGUGGGCAACCUGCCUCAAGGUCUGGGAUAACAGCCCGAAAGGGCUGCUAAUACUGGGUAUGCUUGUGGCCUCGCAUGGGGCUAUGAGCAAAGGGGAAACCCGCCUUGAGAUGGGCCCGCGUCCCAUCAGCUAGUUGGUGAGGUAACAGCUCACCAAGGCGACGACGGGUAGCCGGCCUGAGAGGGUGACCGGCCACACUGGGACUGAGACACGGCCCAGACUCCUACGGGGGGCAGCAGUGGGGGAUCUUGCACAAUGGGCGAAAGCCUGAUGCAGCGACGCCGCGUGAGCGAAGAAGGCCUCGGUUGUAAGCUCUGUCUGGAGGGACGGAAGGAAGGUAGACGGUACCUCCGGAGGAAGCCGACGGCUAACUACGUGCCAGCAGCCGCGGUAAAUCACGUGUA
This 502-nucleotide ribosomal RNA is filed under the name uncultured bacterium. RNAcentral describes it as "bacterial SSU rRNA". It matches the Rfam family "Bacterial small subunit ribosomal RNA", at positions 28 to 533 of the family's 1533-position model. The record is from RNAcentral.